CCCAAUCUAGUGUUAUUGUCCAUAUGCUCGCUGCUCUGUGAUCCUAAUCCAGAUGAUCCUUUAGUACCAGAUAUUGCACAGAUCUAUAAAUCAGACAAAGAAAAAUACAACAGGCACGCAAGAGAAUGGACUCAGAAAUAUGCAAUGUAAUGUUUUCAAACACUUUCACUUAUACCAGAGUACUGUAAAAUCUAUGUCUUUUUCAACAUUAGCAGUAAAUCGAGCGCUGUGGGCUGUCUCCUUUGUUCCACUGAACCCUUUGGUUGCUACUCAUUUUAAAUGUGUUUCUGAAGCAAGACAGAACAAACCUCCAAAACUACCCUUGAAACUGUGCUGAGAGCAUUUGGCAUCUUGUGCUCGUUGAGGAGGACAUUUAUUUUGGUUUCUGAGACACUUGGACACCUGCAUCUUCGAAGCAAGAUCCGCGACAUGACUGAGAAACAACCAGAUGAUUUUUUUUUUUUUGCUGAAAGGAGAUGUUUUUACAUGAGAAACACUGUAUGUACUGUCCAAGAUGUCAUCACUUUUAUAAAUCUGAACUCAGAUUUCAUUCUUUGUUAGCUCACUUUAUAAUUUGUAUUUUUUUACUGUAUAGACUAAAUAUAUUCUAUGUCAACUCAUGACUUUUUUCCCUGUGAACAGUAUUGAAGCCCCCAACAACUGAUGAUGAAUUAACUGUGCCCCCUUGUCUUAGGAUAUUCUGUGGGUUGAAUGCAUAUUUCUUAAGCCGGAACUGAUCUUCACACUGUAUUUCCCAGUAUACCGAUUAGAAUGGAGAGACCCUUGUUUUGGUUUUAUUGUACUUGACUUAACUUUAUUGCAAUGUGAAUUAAUUGCACUGCUAAGUAGGAGGGUGUGUCACUUUCUUUUUUUUGGUUGCUCUUCACAUUUGAAUUUUUUUUUCUGUAUAGGCAAUAUUAUAUUGACACCUUUUACAGAUCUUACUGUAGCGUUUUCCAUAUAAAUAAAAUGCUUUUUCUACUA
Non-coding RNA from Myodes glareolus (Bank vole), 984 nucleotides. Lineage: Eukaryota; Metazoa; Chordata; Mammalia; Rodentia; Cricetidae. The record is from RefSeq and is a predicted model, not a curated record.